AUCCAACUGAUGAGUCCAAAUUGGAACGAAAUGCGCAUCCUGCAC
RNAcentral lists this non-coding RNA (45 nucleotides) under Trichobilharzia regenti. Lineage: Eukaryota; Metazoa; Platyhelminthes; Trematoda; Strigeidida; Schistosomatidae. The record is from RNAcentral.